GACGAACGCUGGCGGCGUGCUUAACACAUGCAAGUCGAGCGGUAAGGCCCUCGGGUACGACGAGCGGCGAACGGGUGAGUAACACGUGGGUGACCUGCCUUUAGCUCUGGGAUAAGCCUGGGAAACUGGGUCGUAAUACCGGAUAUGACCUCAUGAUGCAUGUUGUGGGGUGGAAAGCCUUGUGCGGCUGGAGAUGGGCCCGCGGCCUAUCAGCUUGUUGGUGGGGUGAUGGCCUACCAAGGCGACGACGGGUAGCCGGCCUGAGAGGGCGACCGGCCACACUGGGACGUGAGGACACGGCCCAGACUCCUACGGGAGGCAGCAGUGGGGAAUCUUGCGCAAUGGGCGAAAGCCUGACGCAGCGACGCCGCGU
This 373-nucleotide ribosomal RNA is filed under the name uncultured bacterium. Its description in RNAcentral is "bacterial SSU rRNA". It matches the Rfam family "Bacterial small subunit ribosomal RNA", at positions 28 to 402 of the family's 1533-position model. The record is from RNAcentral.